Molecule: ribosomal RNA, 253 nt
Filed under: uncultured bacterium
Lineage: Bacteria
Description: partial 16S ribosomal RNA
Rfam family: Bacterial small subunit ribosomal RNA
Source: RNAcentral
UACAGAGGGGGCAAGCGUUGUUCGGAAUUACUGGGCGUAAAGGGCGCGUAGGCGGCCUUCUAAGUCGAACGUGAAAUCCCCGGGCUCAACCCGGGAACUGCGUCCGAUACUGGAAGGCUUGAAUUCGGGAGAGGGAUGCGGAAUUCCAGGUGUAGCGGUGAAAUGCGUAGAUAUCUGGAGGAACACCGGUGGCGAAGGCGGCAUCCUGGACCGGCAUUGACGCUGAGGCGCGAAAGCCAGGGGAGCAAACAGG